This 568-nucleotide long non-coding RNA is filed under the name Mytilus galloprovincialis (Mediterranean mussel). The record is from RNAcentral. Lineage: Eukaryota; Metazoa; Mollusca; Bivalvia; Mytilida; Mytilidae.
GCCUGGUCGUUAAAGUAUACAUGCACAGCGGUUGUCAGAUCAAUACUAUUUUAAUCAAAGAUAAUGUCUACGGAUGCAAAAGUCUUAAACAAUCUGGACACGGGUGCGUGAACUUUACUUUUAAGUUUAGAAAGGUCGAUCUAAGAUUAUUAGAAUUGAUGACCAACGUCCAUCUGCCAGUAUUUUCAGUACCGUGAACAUCGAGGACGAUAAUGUGGUUUGCUUGAUAGAUUGAUUAAAAAACAAAUUUCCGCAAUUUCACAAUUCAAACCUGGACAAGCAUUCAAUUAUUUUGCCAUUCGGAGCCUAUAGGGUUUUAGUUUUGCUUAUUUGUGAAGGCUAUAUAUAUGGUGACCUGAACUAGAGGGCGUUGAUGGGGAAUUAUGUAAUUGAGAAUAGUUGACAAAAUAUAAAUAAUAGAGACAAUGGACCAAGAAAAAAAUAAAAAAGCUAGAAUAAUGGUGUUAAAAUAUAUAUAGAGAAGAGAAUAAUUGGCAAAAAGUAUAAAGAAUAGAGAAAAAUUGCCUAAAAUAUCAAAGAAAACAGAAAUUAAGAACCCUGAAUCCAG